This is a long non-coding RNA of Ixodes scapularis (black-legged tick), 495 nucleotides long. RefSeq lists it as uncharacterized. The record is from RefSeq and is a predicted model, not a curated record. The transcript is spliced from 4 exons. NCBI's taxonomy places the organism in Eukaryota, Metazoa, Arthropoda, Arachnida, Ixodida, Ixodidae.
AGUGUUCUGUGAUGCAUCAGGGCCUCAUCAGCUCAUCGACGACUAAAUCGCCCACUUCAAGGUACUUUGGCCAGAUAAACCUCAAAAGAGGUACCAGGUGUGCACCAUGCCAUACCGCAAAGAGCGGCAUUUAUCCGAAAGUUCUCAGGCUCAUCAAGGAAGGGAAAUGAACCCGUCCCAGCUGCACCAAACAGGUGCACGCACCAUUACAGAUUGCAAGCCGUUCUCUUUAAGCCACAUGGAAUGUUCCAUGAGGUGAGCGUGCAUUUGUAGUGGUCCUUGGGACAUGUGCUGUAGGCUUAUGUAUUACUGGCUUUGUCUUUGUGGUAUACGCCAGGCUGUAUUAAAUAUAUUGCAGGUCCCAGCAACAAAAAUUGCAAGCCGCUCUCUUCAAGCCGCGUGGAGUGCUCUCUGAGUUCCCAUCUACACCAAGCGGGUUGACCCACCGUCAGACCGCAAGCCGCUGUCUUCAAGCCGCACAAAGUGUUCUAUGAA